RNAcentral lists this long non-coding RNA (873 nucleotides) under Homo sapiens (human). RNAcentral describes it as "HSALNT0319875". The record is from RNAcentral. Lineage: Eukaryota; Metazoa; Chordata; Mammalia; Primates; Hominidae.
CUUCUCUGUACCAUUGCCUUUGGGUAGUCCUCUUGUCCACUGACAAUAGACUUGACCAUGUCACUUUCUUUGAUCAGUGAGACAAGCAAAGAAUUGAAACGUGAUGGACCAUUGGAACUUUUCUUCUUUUGCUGAUUUUGGAAACCUGCUGGAUAACAAAGACUGGCCCAGUUUACCCCUUCACCUCAGCUGACAGCCAGCCAGCCCUCGGAGCUGUGACACCUACUUGACUGCAUCUGCUUGAUAAAUAAGAAGAACCAGCUGGUACCUGUAACAUAAAAGAACAGCAAGAAUACAGAAACAAAGCAAAUCAUGAUUCAGAAUGUCACAAUCAUCUUGGAUCUUUGCACUUGCAUCACAAUGUUGGGGAUCUUUUUAUCUUCAUGUAAAGAAGCCCUGGCUAGCCUAAUGUAGGAACCACCUGCAGCAGAAACAAGCCAUCCCAACGGAGGAGCCCUAAUGCCAAACAAGAAAGUUGCAACCAUCCUAAACUCUUCAGCCCCAAGCAAAUCACCAGCCCCAGUCACAUCACCAGCUGAUGGUAGAAAUCCAACAUGCUAACCCGAACCAGAGGAAUAACCCAGCAGCUGACCCAAGACUGGCAAACUAAUAAAAUGGUGGCUAUUAUAAGUUUUGGCUUAGUUUGUUAUGCAACAAUGGAUAAAAUAGGGCUUCUUUGACCACCAGACUUGGAAUGUGCCUUCAGGAGAAAUAAGACAGGCAGUGAAGCUGUUCCUGCAGGCACUGCGCUUGCAGGGGGAAUAUGUUGAUAAGUGAUGCAAAGCCAGAUGAGGUCUCUAGACUCUCCAUAAAAUCUCUCUUUCUUCAACCAGGUUAUCUUACUUCUAUCUGCAAGGCCCAGCACAACCAUCA